RNAcentral lists this ribosomal RNA (199 nucleotides) under uncultured bacterium. Its description in RNAcentral is "partial 16S ribosomal RNA". It matches the Rfam family "Bacterial small subunit ribosomal RNA", at positions 1294 to 1500 of the family's 1533-position model. The record is from RNAcentral.
CGGAUUGGAGUCUGNAACCCGACUCCAUGAAGCUGGAUUCGCUAGUAAUCGCGCAUCAGCCACGGCGCGGUGAAUACGUUCCCGGGCCUUGUACACACCGCCCGUCAAGCCAUGGAAGCCGGGAGUGCCUGAAGUGCGUGACCGCAAGGAGCGUCCUAAGGCAAUACCGGUGACUGGGGCUAAGUCGUAACAAGGUACC